Molecule: ribosomal RNA, 449 nt
Filed under: uncultured bacterium
Lineage: Bacteria
Description: bacterial SSU rRNA
Rfam family: Bacterial small subunit ribosomal RNA
Source: RNAcentral
UACCAGACUCCUACGGGAGGCAGCAGUGGGGAAUAUUGGGCAAUGGAGGAAACUCUGACCCAGCAACGCCGCGUGAAUGAUGAAGGUCUUCGGAUUGUAAAGUUCUUUUCUAAGGGAAGAAGAAAGUGACGGUACCUUAGGAAUAAGCCUCGGCUAACUACGUGCCAGCAGCCGCGGUAAUACGUAGGGAGCGAGCGUUGUCCGGAAUUACUGGGUGUAAAGGGAGCGUAGGCGGGCGAGUAAGUUGAAUGUUAAAUCUACCGGCUUAACUGGUAGCUGCGUUCAAAACUUCUUGUCUUGAGUGAAGUAGAGGCAGGCGGAAUUCCUAGUGUAGCGGUGAAAUGCGUAGAUAUUAGGAGGAACACCAGUGGCGAAGGCGGCCUGCUGGGCUUUAACUGACGCUGAGGCUCGAAAGCGUGGGGAGCAAACAGGAUUAGAUACCCUUGUAC